UACGUAGGGAGCGAGCGUUGUCCGGAUUUACUGGGCGUAAAGGGCGCGUAGGCGGUCUGUUAAGUAUGAAGUGAAAUCUCCAGGGCUCAACCCGGAAACCGCUUUGUAAACUGGCAGACUGGAGGAAGGCAGAGGUGAGUGGAAUUCCCGGUGUAGCGGUGACAUGCAUUGAUAUCGGGAGGAACACCCAUGGCGAAGGCAGCUCACUGGGCCUUUCCUGACGCUGAGGCGCGAAAGCGUGGGUAGCAAACAGAAUUAGAUACUCUGGUAGUCCACGCCCUAAACGAUGGAUGCUAGGCGUGAGGGGUAUCGACCCCCCUUGUGCCGCAGCUAACGCAUUAAGCAUCCCGCCUGGGGAGUACGGCCGCAAGGUUGAA
Molecule: ribosomal RNA, 377 nt
Filed under: uncultured bacterium
Lineage: Bacteria
Description: bacterial SSU rRNA
Rfam family: Bacterial small subunit ribosomal RNA
Source: RNAcentral